This 222-nucleotide unclassified non-coding RNA is filed under the name Hevea brasiliensis (rubber tree). Lineage: Eukaryota; Viridiplantae; Streptophyta; Magnoliopsida; Malpighiales; Euphorbiaceae. The record is from RNAcentral.
GCACUGAUUCCUCUGAUGUAUUCUUGCUGUGACAUUUGUUCUUUAUCUCCAGAAAUAGGGUUGUUCUGUAUAAGGAAAUUUGCUUCCUUCCCCUUCAGCGUCCUAAAACGAUCACCAAGUGGAGGAAGACCGUCAAGAAUAGUCCGGCCAAGAAACUCAUUUGAACGAGCUCGCUUAAAGAAAGGAUGCUUCCAAAGCUUUUCUGAGGUGGGGCGCUUCUUU